This 2654-nucleotide long non-coding RNA is filed under the name Canis lupus familiaris (dog). Its description in RNAcentral is "lncRNA (ENSCAFG00000057875.1, ENSCAFG00845023506.1)". The record is from RNAcentral. Lineage: Eukaryota; Metazoa; Chordata; Mammalia; Carnivora; Canidae.
AUACCCCCUUGCCCGCAUAUAUGUUGAUACCAAAACUCUUACACUGUUUUUUCCCCAUAAGCCCUCAUUAGGUUUAAUCACAGAAAGGUACUUACCAUAUUAUAUCUUCACAACUUAGAUGGAAUCAAUCUAUUGUACAUAUCAGCUUGCUUUUAUCUCCCUUUUUAGCGAGUCUAAUAGAGCAACUGUACUGCAGAAGGGAAGUGAAAUGUAUUUUCUAUAUAAAUACAUGUGUCUGAAAAGCUAUGCAAAUGCUAAUUAUUUUACAAAAUAGAACUAUGAUAGUUUCCACUUGAACUAAUUAAGCGGUUCACCAUAAUUCACCACAUAAAUUUUUGAUUUUAAUAAGAAUCCUUCCCUUCAAAUGUGAUUUUUGGGAAAAUCACAUUAAAUUUAUUAAUGUGUAAUCAAGUUAUUCAAUCUUAGUUCAGGCUUCUGACACUACUAUAUGAAAGUAGCAUGCAUCUACCUAACCAAAAUUGCUCUAAAGUUCUUCCUUUAAGGUAAUAGCUAUCUUAUUUUAUAAAGAAAUUUGGCGGUUUUAUCAGGGUGAAAGUUUUGUUUUUGAUAGUAUUUGCUUGGAUCCUAGCAAUAGUCUCCUUCCAGCAUUAGCACUCUUUCUUUUAAUAAGGAUUGCCUCCCAACCAACUAGAUUUCACAAAGGCAAGGAUAAGAAAAGUCUGUAUUAUUAUCAUCAGGCACUUACAACAAAUAUUUAUGAAAAUCCUUUUGUGAAUAUUGUAAACCUUGUUAGUCAUUUUAUUUUAAAUAUUGGACAUAACUCCUUGGAAUUGUCAUUUUGUUUUUUUUCUACUAUGGUUUCAAAUAUCUCUUCACUUACUGACCAUAACGUUAUACCUCAAAAUAAGUUGGGCUAAUAAUCAUUUAAACAUAAACUGUUUUCCAACAAUAAACUCUCAUGUAGUUCAUCACCCCUCUCCAAUAUAAAACAAAAUACUAAUUAAUGAAGGUCAGUUCCUAUCUACAAUAGUAUCUUGGUGUCUUAAGGUAACAUUUUAAAAAUUACCCCAAAAUCCCAUAAAAUACAAGCUUUUGACAAAGUUAACUUAGACUUCAUUAUUAUUUGAGACUACUGAAUAAAUUACCACUCAGUAAUUUUAAAGUAAAUUUUUUUGGUGUUUUCUCCAUGUCAUUGUCAGGUUACUGUCCUGAUAACAUGCUUUAAAUUCUCCCUGCAUCAAAUUGUUUCAUUAACAUACAGAUACUUGUCUACCUUAAAACUAGGUUCAUUCAUAGAGAAAAACCUAAAUCUUUUUAAAUCCUGUUUUCAGUAGUUGAUAAACUUAUCAUUUUGACUGUCUACCAUCUGCUCUUUUUCAUCUGCUGGACCCAACACAUAUCCUCUGUUCAUUCUCUGUUGUUAUUCAUUCUAUGCCUGCCAGGAACUAACCUCUACAAAGAACCAGCAAAAGGCUAAUGACUUUAUAUAAAGAUGACAUGAUUAUCUGCCCUUAAAUUCCUUAAGAGUCUACUGAGAGAAAAAAAAAUAUCUUUGUAAUACAAUAUGAUAAAUGUCAUAAACAAAAUAUAUGUGAAGUGCUUUGGUAAAUGCUGUUGAGUUAGAAUUUAAUAAGUAUAAACAUUUUAGACCUUUUUCCCAAAAAACUUAUCCCUUGAAACAAAACAGAUUUUUCUUAUGACUUACCAAAUGAGAUAGAAAGACAUCAGUAUGGACUUGAAUUAAAUAGUGUUUUCAUGAAUUGUAAAUUUUUCCCCUUGAAAAUGAACACUGAACAAAUUAGUUGUUAAUGGUAUCUUUGUUAACAGGAAAACGUAACUGAAUAAAAUACUGUGUCAAACCCAAGUACCCAGAUUUAUUUGACAUUUGAUGUUUUUAUAAAAUAACGAUCUACUAACAGAUUUUUACAAAUAAUUCAGCUCAGAGUCUUAAAGUUAACAAAGCCCUAUGGUAUGCAUUAGCUCUCUUGUCCUUUACAAAUAUUCUGUGGUGGGUGGCAUUAUCUCCAAUAUACAGAUGAAGAAAUCCUUGUUAAUGUUAUUUAUUUACUUAGACGUUUAAUGUGUGCUUAUUGGCACAAGGAAUAGAAAUGCCAGCAGUCCAGGAAGUUAAAUCCUAAAUUGAACAAUGGUGUUCAGCCUUCAAAUCCUCUGCUCUGCCCUCCACGUUUUAGCCCCCUAUCCAAAAUAUCAAUCAUGCUAUUAAAGUAGGAUGUCCUGUGUCUCAAAAAACUAAAAUAAAAAAUUUUUACAUGUGUAUAUACUUAAGAUAGUCUGUGAAGUCAGUAUAGAACUUUUCUAGGUAAACUUUAUAAUGUUUGUAUUUUAUCUCAUUUCUCAAUAUUAGAAUACGGGUACAUUUUAAUUUUGGUAUAAUUGAGAAAAUAGCUCAUCUUUAUGCCAGAAUGUAGUUUUAUUUAGGUAUUUAGACAGUUGGAAAAUUUCUAAAAUUGAUGAUUUUAUAAUGUAUGUUAAACAAUUACAUAUUGUAUUCUGAGUAUGUUGAUAUUAAACAUUUUUUUACAAGGAAAUUACUGUCAUUCCUAUUAUUUUACAAAAAUGUACAUGAAUAUCUCUGGGGAAAUCUUUCCCCUAAAUGGACCCCCUAAAAUACUUCUGUAGAAGUCCUUGCCCCUAGAUUGAAGCAAAUUGUAAACAAAAUAAAGAUAUGUAAA